AGGAUGAACGCUGGCGGCGUGCUUAACACAUGCAAGUCGAACGAUGAAGCCGGAGCUUGCUCUGGUGGAUUAGUGGCGAACGGGUGAGUAACACGUGAGUAACCUGCCCUUGACUCUGGGAUAAGCGUUGGAAACGACGUCUAAUACCGGAUACGACGCGCGAAGGCAUCUUCUGCGCGUGGAAAGAUUUCGGCAAGGAUGGACUCGCGGCCUAUCAGCUAGUUGGUGAGGUAAUCGGCCACCGAAGGCGACGACGGGUAGCCGGCCUGAGAGGGUGACCGGCCACACGUGGACUGAGACACCGGCCCAGACCUCCGUACGGGAGCAGCAGGUGGGAAUAUUGACACGAAGUGGGCACGAAGCCUGAUG
Molecule: ribosomal RNA, 369 nt
Filed under: uncultured soil bacterium
Lineage: Bacteria
Description: bacterial SSU rRNA
Rfam family: Bacterial small subunit ribosomal RNA
Source: RNAcentral